RNAcentral lists this non-coding RNA (24 nucleotides) under Arabidopsis thaliana (thale cress). The record is from RNAcentral. Lineage: Eukaryota; Viridiplantae; Streptophyta; Magnoliopsida; Brassicales; Brassicaceae.
UGCGCAGUAUUUUGUCUGGGCCCG